GGGUCUCAGAUCUCAGAGGGCUUCAGCAAUCCAUCACACCACUUUUGUUGCCAAAAUAAUUAAAGAAAGACAGCGAGAAGGGACAGGAACUUCAAUUAUGAAUUGGAGGCCUGAGGAAUUGUUUGAGUGAUUAAACAAAUGGCAAAAUAUCUUGGACCAAUGCUCAACCUCAUUCCUUUGCUAUGGUAACAACUUCGGCACGACUUUUCUAAAAGAUACACUGGUUAUUGGUUGCCUCAACUAGCCGGGACGGUUGGUAUGCAGUGUCAAUUGCAAUACUUGUGGAUACCAAGAGCAUUCACCACCUGUCUACUUUCAAACUCUAUAGGAUGACACAUCAUUGUUCCAAAUAUUUAUAUUCAUCAUUUGAUCUAUUUUAAUUAAAUCGUUUAGAUCUAUUUCU
This 403-nucleotide long non-coding RNA is filed under the name Oryza brachyantha (malo sina). RNAcentral describes it as "long non-coding RNA (OBRA_LNC002615)". Lineage: Eukaryota; Viridiplantae; Streptophyta; Magnoliopsida; Poales; Poaceae. The record is from RNAcentral.